Molecule: long non-coding RNA, 9017 nt
Filed under: Gossypium barbadense (sea-island cotton)
Lineage: Eukaryota; Viridiplantae; Streptophyta; Magnoliopsida; Malvales; Malvaceae
Description: long non-coding RNA (GBAR_LNC013199)
Source: RNAcentral
UAGCUUGCUCUUUCUUGGCUUGUUGUUCAACUUUGGCUCUUGAGUUGGCCUUUGAUGACAAAUUGGAAGACAUACAGAUCCACCUGCACCUUCCUCUGUUUAAAGGAAUUUGGCUUCGACCCUCAAGUUGGCGAUCACACACAUAUUUUGAAAUUUAAGACCCCUUGUCUUUUAGUUUCACGUGAUUAGCCAAAAUGCAACAUUAAAAUAUUAUCAAAUAUAGGGAAAUUAAAAUGUAAUUAUAUUAUAAUGAGAAAAAUUAAAAGAAGUAAUAUUUUAUAUAAUGCUAGUGGUAUUGUAUUUUUUUUCUUAAUUAUGAAGCAUGCACCAAAGACAAAGUUCAUGCUAAAGACAGAAAAGAAAAAGAUUAAUAAUAAUUAAUGACCGCUUACUAGUUAGUUCUAUUGUAUUUUAAUAAUUAUGACCGCUCAUUAUGUGGAUAGGGUUGACGAAGACUUACUUUGUUGGUUGGAAGUGGUUGACCAAGACCAUUUCCAGUCAAUAGACUGCUCUCCACUAUUCACUAUUUGUCUGUGGUCCCUUAUAGGGUAAAUUUAAAUUAUAAAAUAUCACUUAAUUAUUUAAUUUUAUCAUUUUAUCACCAACAAACUAAUAGUGAUAGCUUUUAAAAUUAAAAAAAUAAUAAUUUUAACUCUCAAUAUUUAUAAAUUACUUUAAUUUUAUUUUUAUUUUAAAAAUAAAUUUAACCUGUAAUAUAUAUAUUGUGUACAUUUCUUUUUCAGUUUUAUUUUUUAUAAUAUUUAGGAUUAAUUUUAAAAAAUGAAAAAAAAUAAAAAUUAUCUUAUUUUUGGGUGUUUUCAUUUUUUAUAUAUUUUAAAUUAAACUUAAUUAAUAAUUUUUUAUAACUUUUUAGAGGAAAGAUUAAAAGAAAUCUGUAAAAAUACCAAUUAUAUAUACUACGUAAAUGUCGAAAACAAUUUUCUCAUGAUGCUUUUAUAACUUGGUUUUUCUUUACCCUUUUGGUCAUUCUAUUUAAACUGGAAAAAAUAUUUUUGGUCAAUACGUAAUAAUCUAUUUGGUUCAAGAGAAAAUCAAUUUGUGAACCACAGAACAAGAUGAAUGCUUGACGGAGAAAGAAACCACCACUACACAACCACUUAAAAACGGCCAUCAGAUGAGUCAUUGUCAAACCAUUUUUAUCAAUAUUUUACCACCGAAAAUCCACUGGAAAGGUUUAUGGCAUAUUUUCCAAUUCCAUGGUAAAGUCAUUGAUGCUUUUAUUCCGCGAAAUAGGGGAAAGAGUGGGAAUAGGUUUGGGUUCAUUCGAUACGAAAGUGUGAGAGAUGUUACUAGAGCAAUAUAGAGACUGAACGAUUUUAGAUUGUAUGGAAAUCGCAUUGCUGUUAGUAUGGCAAAUGUUUUGCGUAAGGUCUUCUUUUUAAUGUAAAGUUUGAUUCGGUCAAUUUUUCAACUUGUAAAACACUUUUGAAGUUUCAUGGUGGAUGCUCUUGAUAAAGUUGGGGAGAUAGGAUUUUCUAUGUUUCAGGAUUGGUGUUGAUUGUGUUGUUUUGUUUUGAUGUUGCAUCAGUUUUUUGUUCUUUUUUAUGCUUGCAGCAUGCUUUGGUGUCUUUCUUUGUCGUUGUAAUGGAAUUUUGGUACCUAGUUCCUUUAUAAAACUCGCUUGAUUGUUGAUAAAAGAAAAAGGUUAAAUUGAUACUAUAUAUAAAUAUUAAAGAUUAAAAUUAUUAUUAUGCUAAUGUUAAAAGUUACUAUUAUUAAUCCGCUGAUGAUGAAAAAAAGACAAAACUGAAUAAUUGAGUGAUUAUGUUAUAAUUUUUUAUAAUUGAUUAAUUAAAAAAUAAAUUUACUAAUACUUGAGUGACAUUUUAUACCUUUACAAAAUUAAGUGAGUAUCAAUAUAAUUUACCUAUAAUUAUAAUAUAUAGAUUGCUUAGAAAUUUCAACAACAUACCACAUCAAAAGGAUCGAUAUGUGAUAAGAACAAAGACCAAUGACUACUGCAAUUACUCUUUUUAUUUAAUAUUGUUUGAAAUGAUCUUUAAAGUUACAUAUAUCUCUUACUCUCAAAAUAAAUUUUUUAAUACAAACAAUUCUCAGAUUGCAAGGUUAAAGCCAAGAUGCAAUAAGUUUCUUAAUGCAAAAAAAGAAAGCAAGUGCUCAAGAUUUUUGGUUUUACUCUAAAUAUUAACUUAUUAUUUAGAUAAAAAUUACUUUUAUUUUUCAUCUUUCUUAUUAUAUAUGCUCAAGAAAUUAAAAUUCAUAUGUUCAUCAUCACUAAAAUAUUAGAAAAAUAAAGGUUGAGAUAGUAAAUUAAAUAGCUUCAAGUAUUGGGACCUUAAGUGAUGUCCUUUCAUUAUUUUUUAUUCAGUUUACGUACAAAAACAAAAGCAUAUCAUUUGAAAGAUCAACGCGUAAUUAAAACAGAAGGCUCAACAAAAACUGAGGCAAUUACCAUUGGACUUAACAAAAGCAAAAGCAAAGGUAAAUGACCAACCCUAAUUAAGUAACAAUUGAUUUUUAAAAUAGAUAACAAAAAUUCGAAUAGAAAUAAAUGAAAAUUUAAGAGAUUUAGAAAAGAUUGACUACAAAAGGAUCCAAUUAAGAAAAAAAAUCUCAGCUUGCAAGUUCCACAUUAGGUAUUUAAAGAAUUUUAAAAGACUUAUAGUGGACUUGAAAUGAUAUAAACCUCCUUAUUCCACUUUCAUACCUUAAGCCUUCAACCCAUAGCACAUUUCCAAGUUCAUUUCCUUAAAACUUUGUCUCCUGCCAUCGCUUACUUCAAAUAUUUUUAAAAUGGGAAAAUUUAUAUGGUUGUGUCAAAUCCGUAGUCUUCUCUUAGUGCUGUUCUUUCUUUCCGUUGUCGGUUGUUGUCUGGGUUUGUCUAUCUGUUCUUUUAAGCCAACUCCUUUAUGUCUACCAGAAGACGCCUCAGCCUUGCUCCAAUUCAAGAACACCAUGUCCAUUGAUUAUUCUAGUGAUGAUUCCUCUUGCUAUCCCAAAACAAGUUACUGGAAUGAAAGCACCAAUUGCUGUUCAUGGAAAGGAGUCAGUUGUGAUAAGGCAACUGGUCAAGUGAUUGGCCUCGACCUUAGUUGCUCUUUGCUUGUUGGCUCUCUUUCUCCAAACACUAGCCUUUUCCGCCUUCAAGGACUCAAACGGUUCAACCUUGCUUCCAAUGAUUUCAAUGGUUCUUCGAUUCCGUCCGGGUUUAGUCAAUUAGUAAGUUUGAUACAUCUUGAUCUUUCUGAUUCUUCUUUCUCCGGUUCAGUUCCAUCGGAUAUUUCUUUGCCAGCAAAACUGAUUUCACUUGAUCUUUCUCAAAAUAACCAUUUGAAAUUUGAUAGCCAUAGUUUGGCCAUGCUUACACGCAACUUAUCUAAAUUAGAAAACCUUUUUCUUAACAGUGUAAAUAUGUUUGAUGUUGUGCCUACUUCCUUCAACAACUUGCCUUCGUCUCUAAAGCGUUUGCGUCUCGAGUUUUGUGAUUUAAAGGGGGAAUUCCCUAGUGAAAUAUUCCAGCUAACGUACCUUGAGCAUGUUGAUCUAAGUUGGAACUCUUUAUCAGGUUAUCUCCCUAAGUCCAAUUGGAGCAGUACCCUCAAGUACUUUAAACUUUACAAUAAUCACUUUGGAGGGUCCAUUCCUGCGUCCAUUGGAAACCUCACAAAAAUCACCUUUCUAGAUUUAUCCCUCAAUGAAUUCGAAGGUCAGCUUCCCUCAACGCUGUUCAGCCUUAAACAACUUACUCAUUUAGUCUUAUCAUCCAAUAGACUAGAAAAUCAUUUUAAUAAAUCUAACAUUUUAUUAAAAUAUCAAAUUUUGAGGUGAUCCGAUCACACCUAAUUAAAAGAAGAUUGGUGGCGACUAUAUUUUUUGUUUUCUAAAAAAAAUAAAAAUUCGAUUUUCGAAAAAAAGGUUUUGACAUUGAUCAGUGUGACUUAAUGAGUGAAUGCACGUAUCGUGGGUUCCAAACGUGUGACUUGUCAAAUUAGCAAUCAGGUGCGUGAAACUAACCCAAAACCUCGCUCGAAACUUGAGAAAAUUAUGAAAUAGGGAUUGUUUUCGAAACUACCUAGCCAAUGUAAUGCUCAAAUCCUCACCUUUGUGCUUGUUUAACAGCCUAAAUUAUAUCGCUAAUAGAUAAAAGAAAUCAACUCUCAUUAUAUCGCUAUGAUCACCCUUAACCUUGAUGACAAAGGUCAAAAAUAACAAUUAACUCGAGUGAAAAUAAAUUAAAAUAAAAACCAUAAUUAACUCUAGUGGCAAUGAAUUGAAACAAAAAUUAGGGUUAAUUUUUUCUCAUUUAUUUAAAAUUUAAAAUUGUGACCUUGAUAUUUUAAUUUUAUCGAUUCUUUAGUAUAAAAUAGCAGGGUGGAUGGAAAUCUUUUAUUUGAGAAACUGUUAUCUUGAUUUGGUGCAGAUAUUAAAUACGAAAUUAUGUUUAUAGUCUUUUAAUUUCAAGCUACUUUCACAUUAGCCCAAGAUCACAUUACUCUUUCCAUAGCAGCUAAGCCGGCAAUAACAUAAAAAACAGUAACCAUUCUUUUAAAUGAAUUAGUUUUUAUCCUGUGGAGUGUGGACAUGGUUGACCAAGACCAUACCAAGUCAAUUUACUGCUCUCCACUACUACUUUUAUUUUCAUCUAUUUGUCUCACAGUGAAAGGAGAAAUUACAUCAUAGCACACUUGUUCACACUAGCCAUCCCCUUUAGGACGGCCACUGCCAUUUCCUCUUAAUUCAGUGUAUAUAUAGGACAUAUAUUAAUUGCCAAAUGAAUCAACAAACUCACUACACUUACUGACAUUGACAUUCAAGAAAUCUGAUACAAUCAAACUAAAAUAGAGUAAAAUAAAACUCAAAAAAGACAAACGGUAAUUUAACAAACAGACUAAACAAAAAAAAACAUUGGUUUUAGAACAUGUGAAUCUUAUUCACACUUUAUCUUGCAGUUCGCCAAAACCUUUAACAGUUGAAUUUGCAUCUUUGAUGAGCUCUUAUCUUUGAUUAAAUUUGCGUCUUGAUGAGCUCGCAACUGUGGAUGAACUCACAGAUUUGAACGAGUUAGUAGGUACGCGAUCUGGUUUCAUCAUUUAAUGAAUGAUCACUCUGCAACAUUUAUAAUGGUGAAUAUACAAUCAAAUUAAAAUAGAGAAAGUAUAUCAUGUACGUUAACGCGUAAUUAAAAGAGUAAAAUAAAACAUAAAAGACAAAAUGAUAUUCUAUAAUUUAAAUAAUAUAAUAAAACAACAGCUGGAAGGAAAGGUCUUUUCUGAAUAAGUAAAAUAAGUUUUUUUAAACACUCGGGAAAGACUUUAUAACAGUCCACAUGAAAUUAGAGAAUAUAAAUAUAGGCCAAUGAAUCAACUUUGGCAUAGCAUCUCUAAAGCCUACAUCCCUCGACUUAUAGCAAAUUUCCAAUUCCGUUUUCCUUAAAACAUUGCCCCCUUUCAUAGCUUGUUCCUUAUUAGGUUCUAAAAAUGGGAAAGUUUAUAUGGUUGUGUCAAAUCCGUAGUCUCCUCUUUGUGCUGUUCUUUCUUUCCGUAGUUGAUUGUUCUCUGAGUUUGUCAUCCUCUUCUCUUAAUCCAACUCCUCCAUGUCUACCAGAAGACACUUCAGCCUUGCUCCAAUUCAAGAACACUAUGUCCAUUGAUGAUUCUGCUUUUUAUUCCUACUGUUAUCCCAAGACAAACUCCUGGAAUGAAAGCACCAACUGUUGCUCAUGGGAGGGAGUCACUUGUGAUAAGGCAACCGGUCAGGUGAUUAGCCUAGACCUUAGUUGCUCUAAGCUUGUUGGCUUCCUUUCUCCAAACACCACCCUUUUCCGCCUUCGAGGACUCAAACAACUUGACCUCUCUUCGAACAAUUUCAGUGCUUCUUCGAUUCCAUCUGGGUUUAAUCAGUUAGUAAGUCUGACACAUCUUGAUCUUUCUGAUUCUUUACUCAGUGGUUCAGUCCCAUCAGAUAUAUCUUUGCCAUCAAAAUUGAUUUCACUUGAUCUUUCUGGAAAUGAUCAUUUGAAAUUAGACAGUCAAGGUUUUGACAUGCUUACGCGCAACUUAUCUAAAUUAGAAAAUUUAUCCCUUAACUUAUUAAAUAUGUCUGAUGUUGUGCCUACAGCCUUCACUAACUUGCCUUCGUCUUUAAAGCGUUUGAGUCUCGAGAUUUGUGAUUUACAGGGGGAUAUCCCUAGUGAAAUAUUCCUGCUUGGGUACCUAGAGUAUGUUGAUCUACGUGGGAACUCUUUAACAGGUUAUCUCCCAAAGUCCAAUUGGAGUAGUCCCCUCAAAUUCCUCGACCUUUCCCGUAAUUAUUUCAGAGGGUCAAUUCCUUCUUCACUUGGAAACCUCACAAAAAUCACCUAUCUCGGUUUUUCUUAUAACAAAUUAGAGGGAAAAAUUCCAGAUGUCUUUGGAAACCUUAACAAACUUACUACUUUGGAUUUCUUUGAUUGUUAUUUUAGUGGUCAACUUCCCCCAUCGAUGUUCAACCUCACACAACUUACUUAUUUAGACUUAUCAGCCAAUAGGCUAGAAGGUCCCCUUCCAACUCAUGUAACAGGAUUUCAGAAUUUGAAGGACUUCAGUUUAAUUGAUAACUUACUAACAGGAGGAGUUCCAUCUUGGCUUUUUACUUUGCCAUCUUUAGAAUACUUAGGCCUCAGUAAUAACAGUCUCACAGGUCCAAUCAAUCAAAUUCAAAAGCCUAAUUCAAUUCAAUGGGUUGAUUUGGCGGAUAAUGACAUCCAUGGUGAAAUACCAAGUUCUUUCUUUGGUCUUUCAAAGCUUACCCACCUUGAUCUUUCAUCAAACAACUUGAGUGGAGUCAUUAGAUCGGAUAUGCUUUCAAAGCUAGAGAGUCUUGAAACGCUCUAUCUUUCGACAUAAUUUUAGUGGUGUUAUCAACUUAGAUGUUCCAUCAAAAUUGAAGAAUCUCACUGAAGUUAAUCUUUCCAAUAACAAGUUAUGGCAAUUCCCGAGUUUCUUGCGAUCUGCGAAAAGCUUGAGAAGUCUUGAUCUUUCCAAAAACAAUAUUCAGGGUUCAAUUUUCAAUUGGGAAUCGGAAGGUUGGGAACAAUUGAUUGAUUUGAAUCUUUACAACAAUUCGUUGACGAGUUUAGAGCAACUUCCAGGGAAGAAUAUUCUUACCCUAGAUCUUCGUUCCAACCAACUCCAAGGUCCUCUUCCAGCUCCGCCACCUUCAUUGCAAAAAUUCCUGAUUUCAGAUAACAAAUUGACAGGUGAAAUACCUCCUUCAAUUUGUAAUUUGACUUCACUUGAUAUUCUUGAUUUGUCUAAGAAUUACUUUGGUGGAAUUAUUCCAUCAUGUCUUGGAAAUUUUAGUCGGGGGAUCAGUAUCAUAAACCUACAAAAGAAUAACUUGAGUGGCAAAAUCCCUGAUUUUUGUGUUGAAUUAAGUAGUUUGACAACUCUUGCUCUUAAUGACAACAUAUUGGAAGGGUUAUUGCCACGGUCCUUUGUUAAUUGUACCGUGCUACGUUUUUUGAACCUAGCAAACAACACCUUGUACGAUCUCUUUCCCCGUUGGCUCAGUGUACUUCCAGUCCUGCAAGUUCUUAUCUUACGCUCUAAUAGAUUUUAUGGUCGCCUAGACCAUCCCAUGGCUACAUCUAGCUUUAUAAGCUUGCAAAUCCUUGAUCUCUCUAAAAAUGAGUUCACUGGCCCCUUUCCGAAAUAUUCUUCCAAAGUUUUAGACGUUCAAAAUUAGUUGCAGCUUCACAACUACAACCACAACAAGUGAGUAACUGUGGUAGAGACGCUGGUAAUGUAUCUUGUCUUCGUAGUCCUCGAGGUCCCGAAAACUAUAAAAACUAUGUGAAACUAACCAUGAAAAGGUUGGAGCUAGAGCUAGAUCUAGACAAAUCAUUAACUAAUUUCACACUCAUAGAUUUUUCAAACAAUCGAUUCAGUGGACGAAUCCCUAAGGCACUCGGCGAACUUCAUGCUCUUUUAGUGCUCAACCUCUCACACAACAGAUUAAACGAUACCCUACCACCGUCAUUGGCAAAUAUGGCAGCACUUGAAUCAUUAGAUCUGUCAUCUAACAAGUUUGGUGGUAGAAUUCCUUCCGAGUUAACGAAACUGACAUUUCUGGAAGUGCUAAACUUGUCGCAAAACAAUUUUUUCGGACCAAUUCCGGUUGGACAUCAAUUCAAUACUUUCGAUAUUGAUUCCUAUGCUGGAAACUUGGGUUUAUGCGGCUUCCCACUAUCAAAGAAAUGUGGUAGUGAGGAGGAACGAAAGCCACCAACACCAAAGCUUCUGGAAGAUGAAGAUUCUGCAAUACCCUUUAUUUGGGAACUUGUAAUGAUGGGGUAUGGGUGCGGAGUAGUGUUGGGAUUGAGUACGGGAUACAUAGUAUUCACAACUGGAAGACCGUGGUGGUUGGUUAGAAUGGUUGAGAGAGACUGGCAGAGGAAUUUUACAAGAUGGGCCCGCAGGAUUGGAAGAAAAAGGAACUAGCACUUCAUCCAAAUUGCAUAGGUGAGAUUCAAAUAUGUUUUGCUUAAACUUGGACCAAAAAUUGUAUUUACUUUUUAAUUGAUGAUGCAUAUAUAGUAAUUUAGACUUAAUUUUUCCAUUCUAUUUGUCAUAGUUGGACCUGAGGUGAAUUAGAGGGAAAAUGCAGAACUGCUUCUGUAAGAUUUGGGUCGAAGCCUCUGUUCUUACUUUUUGGGUUCAUUUUCAAGGCAGUGGUUUAAAGAUAUGAUUAAGGUGUUGUUAGAGGAUAGCUUGCUCUUUCUUGGCUUGUUGUUCAACUUUGGCUCUUGAGUUGGCCUUUGAUGACAAAUUGGAAGACAUACAGAUCCACCUGCACCUUCCCCUGUUUAAAGGAAUUUGGCUUCGACCCUCAAGUUGGCGUUCACACACGUUUAUUUUGAAAUUUAAGACCCCUUGUCUUUUAGUUUCAUGUGAUUAGCCAAAAUGCAACAUUAAAAUAUUAUCAAAUAUAGGGAAAUUAAAAUGUAAUUAUAUUAUAAUGAGAAAAAUUAAAAGAAGUAAUAUUUUAUAUAAUGC